UGGGGAUCUGCCCGAUAGAGGGGGAUAACCACUGGAAACGGUGGCUAAUACCGCAUAACGUCGCAAGACCAAAGAGGGGGACCUUCGGGCCUCUCACUAUCGGAUGAACCCAGAUGGGAUUAGCUAGUAGGCGGGGUAAUGGCCCACCUAGGCGACGAUCCCUAGCUGGUCUGAGAGGAUGACCAGCCACACUGGAACUGAGACACGGUCCAGACUCCUACGGGAGGCAGCAGUGGGGAAUAUUGCACAAUGGGCGCAAGCCUGAUGCAGCCAUGCCGCGUGUAUGAAGAAGGCCUUCGGGUUGUAAAGUACUUUCAGCGGGGAGGAAGGCGAUGCGGUUAAUAACCGCGUCGAUUGACGUUACCCCCACAAAAAACACCGCGUAACUCCCUGCCAGCAGCCGCGGUAAUACGGAGGGUGCAAGCGUUAUACUCAAUUACUGGGCGUAAAGCGCGCACACGCGGUCUGUUAAGUCAGAUGUGAAAUCCCCGGGCUUAACCUGGGAACUGCAUUUGAAACUGGCAGGCGUGAGUCUUGUAUAGGGGGGUAUAAUUCCAGGUGUAGCGGUGAAAUGCGUAUAGAUCUGGAGGAAUACCCGUGGCGAAGGCGGCCCCCUGGAC
RNAcentral lists this ribosomal RNA (620 nucleotides) under Pantoea sp. LS100. RNAcentral's name for it is "bacterial SSU rRNA". It matches the Rfam family "Bacterial small subunit ribosomal RNA", at positions 118 to 734 of the family's 1533-position model. The record is from RNAcentral. Lineage: Bacteria; Pseudomonadati; Pseudomonadota; Gammaproteobacteria; Enterobacterales; Erwiniaceae.